UAGGGAAUCUUCGGCAAUGGGGGGAACCCUGACCGAGCAAGGCCGCGUGAGUGAAGAAGGUUUUCGGAUCGUAAAGCUCUGUUGUUAAGGAAGAACGAGUGUGAGAAUGGAAAGUUCAUGCUGUGACGGUACUUAAGCAGAAAGGGACGGAUAACUACGUGCCAGCAGCCGCGGUAAUACGUAGGUCCCGAGCGUUGUCCGGAUUUAUUGGGCGUAAAGCGAGCGCAGGCGGUUAGAAAAGUCUGAAGUGAAAGGCAGUGGCUCAACCAUUGUAGGCUUUGGAAACUGUUUAACUUGAGUGCAGAAGGGGAGAGUGGAAUUCCAUGUGUAGCGUUGAAAUGCGUAGAUAUAUGGAGGAACACCGGUGGCGAAAGCGGCUCUCUGGUCUGUAACUGACGCUGAGGCUCGAAAGCGUGGGGAGCGAACAGG
RNAcentral lists this ribosomal RNA (429 nucleotides) under Verrucomicrobiota bacterium. Its description in RNAcentral is "Verrucomicrobia bacterium partial 16S ribosomal RNA". It matches the Rfam family "Bacterial small subunit ribosomal RNA", at positions 355 to 776 of the family's 1533-position model. The record is from RNAcentral. Lineage: Bacteria; Pseudomonadati; Verrucomicrobiota.